RNAcentral lists this ribosomal RNA (253 nucleotides) under uncultured bacterium. RNAcentral's name for it is "partial 16S ribosomal RNA". It matches the Rfam family "Bacterial small subunit ribosomal RNA", at positions 524 to 776 of the family's 1533-position model. The record is from RNAcentral.
UACGGGGGGAGCAAGCGUUGUUCGGAUUUACUGGGCGUAAAGGGCGCGUAGGCGGCCCACUAAGUCAGACGUGAAAUCCCCCGGCUUAACCUGGGAACUGCGUCUGAUACUGGAGGGCUUGAGUAUGGGAGAGGGAUGUAGAAUUCCAGGUGUAGCGGUGAAAUGCGUAGAUAUCUGGAGGAAUACCGGUGGCGAAGGCGGCAUCCUGGACCAUUACUGACGCUGAGGCGCGAAAGCUAGGGGAGCAAACGGG